Molecule: non-coding RNA, 71 nt
Organism: Parelaphostrongylus tenuis
Lineage: Eukaryota; Metazoa; Nematoda; Chromadorea; Rhabditida; Metastrongylidae
Source: the annotation of a GenBank genome assembly
GCAUCGGUGGUUCAGUAGUAGAAUGCUCGACUGCCAUGUGGACGACCCGGGUUCGAUUCCCAACCGACGUC